UCUUUUCAAAACGAUUAUAAAAAUUAUUUAAAAUCUGAAAGUCUUCAAAAAACCAGAAUCUUACGAUGGCUAACCAAUUUCAAGAUAUUAGAUUUUUGUUACGUCGGAUCUCUCAGUUGAAUCAUAAGCCAAAGUUUUAGAAAUAAGGAUUCUUAAUGUAUAUAUAAAAAUUUUUCACAUACAUAUGUACGCAUUCAGAAGUAAAAGCUUCACCUUACCCAAAUAUUUAAAAAAUUAAUAUGCAAGAAACGUUUGACCAAAAGUGAAUAUAUUUGCUGGGUGUUGAUUGCAAAAGGAUUCUUCUGCCAACCGAAUUCACACGCAUAUUCUUUUGGAUACUUAAGAAGUGGUUUGUUAAAGAACACAUACCGUAAGUAAGUAUAUGGCAGACAAAGGGUGCAACCUCCACACUCGUGACACGAAGAAGAAUUUUAUUUUUUUUUAAAUAAAAAAAAUUUAUAUAAAAAACUGAAGUCUACCAAAAGGACAGUGUUUAAUGAACUCAUAGUCAUGAAUGUGUGUGAGAUGCAAUCCAGUAGGAAAUUCACUAAGGUGGGGUAAAAACUGAUUAGACAUUGGAAUACUGUCGCACAGCGAAGUCAAUUAAAAAGUCUCUGUCAAAUACGUGACUAAAAAUAUUUCUUAAGGGGAAAUUAAAUUCUACAAUAGCAAGUAAAAUACGCGUAAAAGGUGUGCAUAAGUAUGCUUGCCGCUUGACAUUUCGCGAUGCUGCACAAACACUUGACUCGGAAAUAAGUGUUGUGAAGCCGUCGAAGUUUCCACACAAAUAUUUUGCCAACAAUGUAAGCAGACAACUUAAAAUAUUAGCCAUUGCUUAAGUUCUAUUAAACAGGUGAAAGCUAAAAUCACAAUGAAAAUUAAAAGUACAACAAAAAUGUUAGCUUUGCAAAGAGUUGGCGGCAUACGAUGUUGUUGCUUGAUUUUGUAAAAAUUGUAAAAGUUAACUUGCCACAAAGCGUGUGUAAAGAGCGUGCAACAAACACCCGAGUUGACAUUAAUUUUGCGUGUAACAUUGAGUUUUAUGAUACUCAUAAAUAGGAGUACGCAACUCUUCUGCCGAUUGUAUGUGUAUGAAGAAAGAACGUUUACAACAGUUCAAGGUGGGGGAGGUAAACUCACAGUCGUACAAAUUAUAAUACGGAACAGUGUUGGGUGGUAGUGGGGCUGCCAAUGAAUUUAGCUUGUCGUCAGAAACUAAUUGUUGCUUGUGCGUAGAGUAAUGUUUGGCUUGAUAAUAUAAUGUAACUGUUGUAAUAACAACAAAAAAAAAACAACGUAUUAUAAUACAACGAAUAUGGAAGAAGGGUUGAAGUGCAACAGCUUGCGGUAAUUUUCAACUUUGUGAAACAAGUGUUUUCUCAUUUUGUAGAAUUUAAUGAGCGCAACAUUCUCGACAAUAUUCUUAUUUUGGGUGGGAGUGACUGAUUUGACUCAAGGCAGCGCAUAAGAGCAGGUAUUAGAGUUGGGCUCCGGUAUACCGCACCUACAAUAUAGACUUGUGGUUUUUAAAGGGAAUACAUUCUUCGACAGCCGCUGCUUGAUCUAUACUCAGUUUGGUUUGCCAUACCAUAACGAACAGAGGUUUGCAAAUCGUGCAAAUUAAUUAACAAAAUAGUGUUCUGGAGCGGAGUAUCGAAAAAGACCCGAAUAAGAUCCCCGCCGUCGGGAGUAGAAAGAAAUGAUAACGUUAUAGAUUAAUUAUUAAUAUUUUUUUUUGGCCUUUUCUAUGGUUUCAACAAUACUGGGCUACCCAUACAGCUAAUGAAACAAUCAAUCACAGAAAAAAAAAAUAAAUUAAAUUAAUUAUGAAUCCGAAGGAUCUCAAGCACAGAAGCCCAUCAUCCUUCGUGCUAAAAUCAUUAAAAAUGAUGCAUCAAUGAAAUUUCUCUUACGGACUAUUGAAGAGAAGUUGUUUCAAAUGAAUACGAAAACAAUUUCAAUUGAAUGUCUUUUAAUAAAAAGGAAUGCUGGGCUGCUACACUUUUAGAUAAACCGGGAAUCGUUAACAAUAUUUUACCAGGUGAGCGAAUUUGGAGAAUCUUAACAUUUAUCUUCAGGAGCAGCAAGGCAGAAGCUUUAAGGCGAAUUUGCUAUGAAAAGCGUAUUAACUGUAUUACAAACAGGCCGUGGUAAUUGGAGUUCGGAGGUAAGGAUUCCUCAUUAUCCAUAUGCCUACCUUGCUAUGGGCAAUGUUAGGGUUUGAUGGUCUUUCCAAGAUACUGAUGUCAAGGUAAUUGAUGUAAUGAGGAGGAAUGAUGAAAGAAUGAAGCAUCGAACUGCUACGACUGUAAAGCCUAAUUGAUGGGAGAUUCCACAUCACAACGACCUCAAUCUGGCUUAAGAAAAAUCGAUAACUUCACCUAAAAUUUAUGCGAUCACUAUGAAAAGUAUCAUUGUAAUCAUGUAACAAUAUUUGUUGUUUUUCUUAACAAACCAAAAACAAAUUUUAUGUGGGAACCAGCCGUCAAAUGCGUGGCUUGUAAGGUGAGCGCCAACCAAAUGUUACACGCUUAAUCACAUACUCGCAUGUCGGCAAGCAGAGCAAAACCAAAAUGAGGCACAGAAAUGCUUAUGUUAAGAAGAAAUCCGAAGGGAGUUGCACUCAGUAUGUUCACAGCCAAGAAACAGCAUGGAAGUUUAAAAUCACUUGUUGUGGAGUAAACAUUUGUAUAUUAUGCACGAGUAUGUAGCUAAGCUAGGAAGUUAUGUAGAUGCUCUGGUGUAGGCAGUAUGAGUUGACUUGUUUGUUUGAUAAUAAAGCAGCAAUAAUAGCAAGAACAAUCACCAAUACUCGCACUCGUUUGUAGAUGACACCCAAACAACGGUUUGCCUUCAGCGCACAUACUCGAAUAUUUUCAACUUGUUACAGUGUUGAACUCUCGAGGCAUUUGUUUCUGCUAUUGGGUGGCCAGGCGUAACUCCAUGUCAUUGUCGUCAAAACACACAACGAAGGACGAAGUUCGAAAGUUGCUUUUGUAAACAACAAAUAAACGAUGACUGGAGUGAGCCAGUCAUUUUCAAUGUGAGUUUCCGCCUGCAGUGCACAGUGUUGUAGUUUCCUAAGUCGAAAACAGAGUGUAAACUCAGGUGUUGAGAAGUUUUUUUUUAACUUAUCGUAGGUAAUAUAAAAAAGGAUAAAAAAGAUUUUUGUGAACUCAAAAUAAAAGCGUACAAUUAUCAU
Molecule: long non-coding RNA, 3202 nt
Organism: Ceratitis capitata (Mediterranean fruit fly)
Lineage: Eukaryota; Metazoa; Arthropoda; Insecta; Diptera; Tephritidae
Exons: 3
Source: RefSeq, a predicted model, not a curated record